AACUUUUAACAAUGUAUCACUUGGCUCUCGCGUCGAUUAAGAACGCAGCGAAAUGCGAUAAGUAAUGUGAAUUGCAGAAUUCAGUGAAUCAUCGAAUCUUUGAACGCACCUUGCGCUCCUUGGUAUUCCGAGGAGCAUGCCUGUUUGAGUGUCAUUAAUAUAUAUAUAUCAACCCUCUUCUCUUGUUGAGCGGUUUGGAUGUGGGGGGUUUCUUUGCUGGCCUCUUCAAAGGUUCAGCUCCCCUGAAAUACAUUAGCAGAACGACCUGUUCAUUCAUUGGUGUGAUAACUAUCUACGCUAUUGAACGUGAGGCGGUUCAGCUUCCUAACGGUCCUUGGACAAUUUAUCAUUUUAUGUGACCUCAAAUCAGGUAGGACUACCCGCUGAACUUAAGCAUAUCAAUAAGCGGAGGCU
Molecule: unclassified non-coding RNA, 414 nt
Filed under: uncultured Cortinarius
Lineage: Eukaryota; Fungi; Basidiomycota; Agaricomycetes; Agaricales; Cortinariaceae
Description: sequence contains ITS2
Rfam family: 5.8S ribosomal RNA (bases 1-154)
Source: RNAcentral